CCCUUAAUCAUACCUACCAUCUUAUAACUAUCACUUAUUUUAUGUGUGUAUUCUUCUUAUAUCUUCAAUCCACUUUUACAUAAUGUUUAGCUAAUUAAUCUUUCUUUAAAACCCUUCGAUUUUGUAUUAUGUUAAUUCAAAUUUAUUUCCCUAAAAGGUUAUGACUAUGUUUCGAUAUCAAACAAUCGUUACACUAAAAAGUGAACAAGAUGAGUGUUUCUUGUUUAGUAAUACUUUUUCGGAGCAAUGGGAUAAUUAUUCCAAAUCUUUGAGGAUUUUAAAUUUUAAUCCAAAAGUUUUUUCCGAUGAAAAAUUCGGCAGCGUCUCCUCUAUAUAUUGGUCCUCAUUCCAUCUGUGAAUGAUAAAAUUUCAAUCCAGUGGACUCUCAAUCUUAACUUUCCUAACCUUCCUUCAACCACAAACACAAUUUUCAAAUCAAAUCAACACUUCAAAGAUACCAAGUGUCAACAAUGAGAAAGGAAUAAUGGAUUGAGUGACCACAUUAUUUAUUAAUAUAUUUUUGGAUAAUGGCAUAAAAAAUUUAAACCUUUAAAGAUUUUUUGCAUUUCAAUUAAAAAGAUUUUACUAGCUACAAUAACUUAGAAUUUAAAAACAUUUAGCGAUUCAAUUCAAAUUUGAAAUGUAAGUGGGAAAGCAUUUGCCGGUGGCAACGUUCCAUCUGUAUUUUUUUAUUACUUAACGGUGGAUCAUACGCUACACAUUGAAUAACCAAUGUGAGAAAUUAACUGCCAGUUAAUGGUAAAAAUCCAAGCUUGGUGUUUAACUAACCUGACUUAAAGUCAAAUUUGGAAAUUGUCGGAACAGUUCAACUAUGCUUUUCCUAAGCGAAGCAACGCUAUAGUCUCCAACAUCUAGAGAGCUCAAAUCAAAGCCGUCUCACAACCUAGGAUCCUUAGUCAUCAGCACCACCGCCGGUGCAGUCUGUGCUACGUGAGUGACCUUUCGCUCCUAAAUUACUGUCAACAUUGUCUUCAUAUCAAAUUUACCUAUGGACACCACCGUCGCUCCCAUAGUUAAAGCCCUCACGAAAUAACAUAAACCAUAAACAUGAAAAUAAGGCAAAAGGAAGUUGCAGCUGCCAUCCAGGUCGUGUAAACCUCAUGACUUACAGCCACUAUACAUGUGAAAUUUCGAUGAGUCAAAACCACUCCAUCAACUCGACCAGUAGUCCGUGAGGAUAUAGAAUCAUCGCAGGGUCCAAUCGGUAAACCUUCCCUCGAGUACGAUUUUUUUGAGAUUAGGAAUUAUACGAGCAGCAUUCGACGUUACGAACACAAUUACAGGUAUUGACAGCUGAAUUUGGUGGAGAAUCUCAUGUUUAAAGAUAAUUGAUUCUUAAGGAGACCUAACGACACCGAGAGAGAAGAUACAGAAAUAAAGAAUCGAAAGGUGAAUAGAGUUAGGAGAAAGAACAAAGGCAAUAUCUACUUUUCUGAAGCCAAAAUGGUGGUGAAGCGAGAAGUCUAUUUUUUUGUGCGAAGGAUGAAGUCGGGAAAAUAAAUUCGACAGGGAGUGACGGCAUCGAAGAGAGCGUUUUAUGUUUUUCUACACCAAUUAAGAAUUUUAACUUAACUAACCAAGGAUUAAUAUCUCACCUUGGUUAUCCAAGGUGUAGCGUAGUGUCCACCGUCAAGUAAUAAAAAAAUACAAUAUGGCCUGCUACCGAUAGAUGCUCCCCCACUUUCAAUUCAAAUUUGGAAAGAAUCGCCAAAUAUUUUUAAAUCUUAAUUCAUUGUGCCAAGAAAUAAAAUUUUGGAUUUUUUAUGCCAUUAUCCUUUUUUCUUCAAGCAACAAUUUAAUUUAGUCUGCUAGUGAAUGAGGAUUUGGGGUAGCUGCGACACUUCGUCUAUGCCUUAUAACUUCUAAUGCCAACUUACGUUUUAUAUCUAGACUGUGACACUGCCUUUCAAGUGUUGUUUUAUAUCAUAAAUUACACCUAUUGGCAUGCCAAUUGCCGUUUUUUUUUGCAAGCUUUCCAAGUUAUUCAUUUUAGGUACUUCAGUAUGCUCCUACUCUAAGUUAUAGUCAAGUUUUGGCAAUAUUAAGGGUCUAAUUCACUCAUGGUCUCUUUAUGAAAAUUGCUCUCCUAUAUCUUAGCUAAUUCAGUGAUUUCUUUUGUGGCUUUACUUUUAUCUAUAAUCUUACAAAUAUUAUUAUUUGCAUGCUAAUUAUUUUAGUCAUACUAAACUUAUUAAAUUUUCAUUAAGUAAUUUAUUCGACGUGAAAAUCUACUAAUAUGGCUUGAAUUUACACCGCUGCUAUUUGCUAAUUAAAGCCUUAACAUUUAUUAUCCUUGGACCGCACCCGAAGGCUGCCUACGUACCUCCAAUAGAGGAUCAGGCCUACGUAGCUCUUAACAAUAGAUAAUAACAUAAAGUUUAUACUAACAUAAUUUAUUCUAGCUAAUAAUCAACUACAUUAUCACAUUAUAUUUAGAAUCCAGUAAAUAACUAAGGAAACAUAAAUAAUUAUAUUUUCAUAGCUAUAUUUUGCACAAUAUUAUUAAGAAACUAGAUAUCAAUAUUCAAAAUAUGUAUAUAUAUAUAUAUACACACACACAAAUUUAUAUAUAAACAAAAAUCAAUAUAACUCAUCAAUAAUAAUUACUUGUACCGAUUAAAGCGUUUAAAAUCUAACUAUAUCACCAAUAUAAAUAACAACUAAACUUUUAAUAAACAAUAACUAUCUAAACUAACCCCUAAAUCAUACCUACCAUCUUAUAACUAUCACUUAUUUUAUGUGUGUACUCUUCUUGUAUCUUCAAUCUACAUUUACAUAAUGUUUAGCUAAUUAAUCUUUCUUUAAAACCCUUCGAUUUUGUAUUAUGAUAAUUCAAAUUUAUUUCCCUAAAAGGUUAUGACUAUGUUUCGAUAUCAAACAAUCGUUACGCUAAAAAGUGAACAAGAAGAUUGGUCACUGACAUGUUCUAGCCUAUUUCACCUACUCAUGGCUCUCCCUUUUUUCAUUUCUCUUGUAUUAUAAUAUACAUAAAAUGCCUCCUUUUAAUUACAAACAACACAAAAAACAAAUAUGUUUUUCGAGUACAUUGUCGCUAUCAUAGAAUUUUUCUAUACCUUAUUGCUGAUGUCUCUAGUAUUUUAUUUUAAAAGGAUAUAAACUUUUAUUAGAAGUCACUUCAUAGUAAUUAGAAACUUGUCAUGAAACAACUUCAGAUAUAAGGCAUCUACCAUAUCCUAGCAGAUUCUUAAAAGUGAUGCACAAACUUUCCAAUCAAUGCUGCAAUGUACAUAAUGUAAUCUGCAGCUUACAAUACACACAUUUGCAGCAUUGAAUAGGUUAUUGGGAUCACGACUUUAGACUAUCACCCCAAUCUUCUAAUACAUGUUGAAUGUCAAAUAACAUUCUUAGCCAACUUACAAAAACCUAUAGUAGAGUUAUAUCCUGACCUUAACUUGUAACGUAAAAACAUUUGCUUAUACUUGUUCCUUCUCCUUAAUACCUAGAACGGCCUAAACGUUAGUUCUAAUGUAUCUUCAAUCCCCCUUUACAAAAUGUUUAGUUAAUUAAACUUUCUUUAAAACUCUUGAAUCUGUUAUUAUAAUAAUUCAAAUUUAUUUCUCUCGAAGGUUAAGACUAUGUUUCGAUAUCAAACAAUCAUCACAGUAAAAAGUGAACAAGAAGAUUGGUCACUAACAUGUUCUAGCCUAUUUCACCUACUCAUACAUCUCCUUUUUUUCAUUUCUCUUAUAUCAUAAUAUUUAUAAAAUUCCUCUUUUUAAUGAUAAACAAAACAAAAACAAUUAUGAUUUUUGAGUACAUUGUCGCUCUCAUAGAAUUUUUCUAUACCUUAUUGCUAAUAUCUCUAGUAUUUUAUUCUAAAAGGAUAUAAACUUUUAUUUGAAGUCUAUUCAUAGCAGUUAGAAACUUGUCAUGGUACAACUGCAUCACAUAUAAGGCAUCUACUAUAUCCUAGCAGAUUCUUAAAAGUGAUGCACACAAUUUCCACUCAAUGCUACAAUGUCCAUAAUGCAAUCUGCAGCUUACAAUACAAACGUUUGUAGCAACGAAUAGAUUAUCGCGAUCACGACUUUAGACUAUCACCUCUAUCUUCUAACACAUGUUGAAUGUCAAAUAACAUUCUUAGCCAACUUACAAAAGCCUAUAGUAGAGUUAUAUCCAGACCUGAACCUAUAAGGUAUACACAUUUGCUUAUACUUGUUCCUUCUCCUUAACACCUAGAAACGCCUAAACGUUAGCUCUAAUACCACUAACUCCAACAUCCCUAUAAGGUUAUUUAACUAACCGAAAUGGAGAAGCACCGUGGUGCUUCUCUCAUUUUGUCAAUUAACUAUUAUCAUGUAUUUCAUGACAUUUAAUAUAUUUUUGGAUAAUGGCAUAUAAAAUUUAAACCUUUAUGAAUUUUUGCAUUUUAAUUAAAAUGAUUUUACUUGGUACAAUAAGUUAGGAUUUAAAAACAUUUAGCGAUUCAAUUCAAAUUUGAAAUGAAAGUGGGGGAGCAUUUGCCGGUAGCUAACGUGACGUUCCAUCUGCAUUUUUUUAUUACUUAAUGGUGGAUCAUACGCUACACACUGAAUAACCAAUAUGAGAAAUUAACCAUCGGUUAAUGGUAAAAAUCCAAGUUUGGUGUUUAUCUAACCUGACUUAAAGUCGAAUUUCGAAAUUGCUCACGGAAUAGUUCAGCUACGCUUUUUCUAAGCGAAGCAACGCUGCAACCUGCAACAUCUAGAGAGCUAAAAUCUUAGCCGUCUAACAACCUAGGAUCCUUACUUAUCAGCACCACCGCCGAUGCAGUCUAUCUUACACUCCUGAAUUACUGUCAGCAUUGUCUUCAUAUCAAAUCUACCUAUGGACACCAUCGCCACUCCCAUAGUUAAAACUCUCACGAAAUUACAUAAACCAUAAACAUGAAAAUAAGGCAACGAAAAAGAAAGAAAGUUGCAGCUGCCAUCCAG
This 4955-nucleotide long non-coding RNA is filed under the name Manihot esculenta (cassava). RNAcentral's name for it is "long non-coding RNA (MESC_LNC012898)". The record is from RNAcentral. Lineage: Eukaryota; Viridiplantae; Streptophyta; Magnoliopsida; Malpighiales; Euphorbiaceae.